UAUUGCUGAUGCAGCUACAGAGGUAUUCAAUCGCGUUCAUAAAAUGUAUAUUAGAAAUAUGAUUCUUAAAAUUUAUAUUGAUAUUUAUUUAAGCCUGUGAAAACAAAGAAUGUGGUGUGUCAAAUUCCUCAACGAAAGACAUACAAAAAAGACACACAAUCCAAAAAUUGGACUAGGUGUUUCGCCAAAUAAAUAUUGUCAAUUAUCAAAAAAAAAGAGAAUGGGAAUCAUCGAUGUUGAUUAACAGAUCAAAAAAAUAUAAUGGUAAUUUUUCAUAGUUUACAUUUUUGUAAUUUAUAUUCUUUGACGUGUCAAAUAAUUUUUAUAUUCUUAUUUUAGAUUUAACAAAGUCAAUGAUUAUAGUACCUAUUGAAAAUAAAAAAUAAUCUAUUAAUA
This is a long non-coding RNA of Melitaea cinxia (Glanville fritillary), 396 nucleotides long. RefSeq lists it as uncharacterized. Lineage: Eukaryota; Metazoa; Arthropoda; Insecta; Lepidoptera; Nymphalidae. The record is from RefSeq and is a predicted model, not a curated record. The transcript has 2 exons.